RNAcentral lists this ribosomal RNA (255 nucleotides) under uncultured Actinomycetales bacterium. RNAcentral describes it as "partial 16S ribosomal RNA". It matches the Rfam family "Bacterial small subunit ribosomal RNA", at positions 75 to 334 of the family's 1533-position model. The record is from RNAcentral. Lineage: Bacteria; Bacillati; Actinomycetota; Actinomycetes; Actinomycetales.
CCUUUUCGGAGGUACUCGAGUGGCGAACGGGUGAGUAACACGUGGGUAAUCUGCCCUGCACUCUGGGAUAAGCCUGGGAAACUGGGUCUAAUACCGGAUAGGACCGCACUUUAGUGUGUGUGGUGGAAAGUUUUUUCGGUGUAGGAUGAGCCCGCGGCCUAUCAGCUUGUUGGUGGGGUAAUGGCCUACCAAGGCGGCGACGGGUAGCCGGACUGAGAGGUUGGUCGGCCACAUUGGGACUGAGAUACGGCCCAG